GUCGAACGGCAGCACGGGGGCAACCCUGGUGGCGAGUGGCGAACGGGUGAGUAAUACAUCGGAACGUGUCCUGUAGUGGGGGAUAGCCCGGCGAAAGCCGGAUUAAUACCGCAUACGCUCUACGGAGGAAAGGGGGGGAUCUUAGGACCUCUCGCUACAGGGGCGGCCGAUGGCAGAUUAGCUAGUUGGUGGGGUAAAGGCCUACCAAGGCGACGAUCUGUAGCUGGUCUGAGAGGACGACCAGCCACACUGGGACUGAGACACGGCCCAGACUCCUACGGGAGGCAGCAGUGGGGAAUUUUGGACAAUGGGCGCAAGCCUGAUCCAGCAAUGCCGCGUGUGUGAAGAAGGCCUUCGGGUUGUAAAGCACUUUUGUCCGGAAAGAAAUCCUUUGGCCUAAUACGUCGGGGGGAUGACGGUACCGGAAGAAUAAGCACCGGCUAACUACGUGCCAGCAGCCGCGGUAAUACGUAGGGUGCAAGCGUUAAUCGGAAUUACUGGGCGUAAAGCGUGCGCAGGCGGUUCGCUAAGACAGAUGUGAAAUCCCCGGGCUUAACCUGGGAACUGCAUUUGUGACUGGCGGGCUAGAGUAUGGCAGAGGGGGGUAGAAUUCCACGUGUAGCAGUGAAAUGCGUAGAGAUGUGGAGGAAUACCGAUGGCGAAGGCAGCCCCCUGGGCCAAUACUGACGCUCAUGCACGA
RNAcentral lists this ribosomal RNA (700 nucleotides) under uncultured Burkholderia sp. RNAcentral's name for it is "bacterial SSU rRNA". It matches the Rfam family "Bacterial small subunit ribosomal RNA", at positions 61 to 756 of the family's 1533-position model. The record is from RNAcentral. Lineage: Bacteria; Pseudomonadati; Pseudomonadota; Betaproteobacteria; Burkholderiales; Burkholderiaceae.